This 694-nucleotide long non-coding RNA is filed under the name Brachypodium distachyon (stiff brome). Its description in RNAcentral is "long non-coding RNA (BDIS_LNC000899)". The record is from RNAcentral. Lineage: Eukaryota; Viridiplantae; Streptophyta; Magnoliopsida; Poales; Poaceae.
CGCCCCAGCGUCAGACGCACAAUAUCUCUAUCCCCUUCUCCUGCUUCUUGCUGGUCCACAACCUCCCGAACAGAGAGUUUGUCCGCUGCCACCGCCAUCCCCUGCACCACAGCCGCAACGUUCGGGUCUGAUUCGGUUCUGUCCUCCAUGUCCUCGCUCCUAGUACUCCAUACUUUGUUUAAUCAACCAAAUAAUAUCAAGGGAUCCUCGACCAGAUAAUAUCAGGGGACCGUCUUUGUGACAUUUAAUUUACCUCUUCCAUCAUGUGUUACUAAUAUGUUUGGUCGGUGGCUUCGGGGUGUUGAAUUUUUUUUUGCUUCGCUCAUCCUUGUAGGGACUUGUGCGAUAUGUUGAUCUAUAUGAAAUUGCAGAAAUGAUUUGGUUUUUCAUAACAAGAAAUUGGCUAAUUUCUCGCAGGUUGUUCUUCGGGCGUCCCAUUGGCUCCUUACGUGGUCCCUACUGCUUCGGACAGAGGCACAUGGGUGUAUGGAAUCUGGGUGCAACCAUUUGGAGACGAUAGCACGGGAGUUAUUCAGCCGAUUUGGAUGGCGCGCAAGUCUUAGGCUGGAAGGAUAUUGAUGUUUUUCUUUCAUUCUUUUUUUCAUUAUCUUUUGCAACUCUGAGACAUGUACUUUGAAUACUUUUAAUAAUUUAUGGCUGUGUGCAUCGAUCGAUGCAGAGGCCGGGGGAUGUC